AUGUGCAUACCAAAGAGCAGAGGAGGAAUGGGAUUCAGAGACAUUCACUGUUUCAACUUUGCAUUGCUGGCAAAACAAGCACGACGACUUACUGAAGAUCCCAAAUCCCUCUGUGCAAAGAUUCUUAAAGCAAAAUAUUAUCCUACUGAUGAGCUUAUGAAUGGUAGGUUGAAAAAGAAGGCCUCUUAUACAUGGCAAAGUAUAAUGGCAGGUGUGGAGACUUUGAAACAUGCACAUUUGGAGGGUGGGAUAUCGUCAAAAAAUUAA
RNAcentral lists this ribosomal RNA (267 nucleotides) under Triticum aestivum (bread wheat). Its description in RNAcentral is "partial small subunit ribosomal RNA". The record is from RNAcentral. Lineage: Eukaryota; Viridiplantae; Streptophyta; Magnoliopsida; Poales; Poaceae.